RNAcentral lists this ribosomal RNA (253 nucleotides) under uncultured bacterium. RNAcentral describes it as "partial 16S ribosomal RNA". It matches the Rfam family "Bacterial small subunit ribosomal RNA", at positions 524 to 776 of the family's 1533-position model. The record is from RNAcentral.
UACGUAGGGGGCAAGCGUUAUCCGGAUUUACUGGGUGUAAAGGGAGCGUAGGUGGUAUGAUAAGUCAGAUGUGAAAGCCCAGGGCUCAACCCUGGGAUUGCAUUUGAAACUGUCAAACUAGAGUGCAGGAGAGGUAAGUGGAAUUCCUAGUGUAGCGGUGAAAUGCGUAGAUAUUAGGAGGAACACCAGUGGCGAAGGCGACUUACUGGACUGUAACUGACACUGAGGCUCGAAAGCGUGGGGAGCAAACAGG